RNAcentral lists this ribosomal RNA (253 nucleotides) under uncultured bacterium. RNAcentral describes it as "partial 16S ribosomal RNA". It matches the Rfam family "Bacterial small subunit ribosomal RNA", at positions 524 to 776 of the family's 1533-position model. The record is from RNAcentral.
UACGAAGGGUGCAAGCGUUACUCGGAAUUACUGGGCGUAAAGCGUGCGUAGGUGGUUUGUUAAGUCUGUUGUGAAAGCCCCGGGCUCAACCUGGGAAUGGCAAUGGAUACUGGCAGGCUAGAGUGCGGUAGAGGGUAGUGGAAUUCCCGGUGUAGCGGUGAAAUGCGUAGAGAUCGGGAGGAACACCAGUGGCGAAGGCGGUUCUCUGGGCAUUACCUGACGCUGAGGAGCGAAAGUGUGGGGAGCGAACAGG